AAAUUGAAGAGUUUGAUCAUGGCUCAGAUUGAACGCUGGCGGCAGGCCUAACACAUGCAAGUCGAACGGUAACAGGAAGCAGCUUGCUGCUUUGCUGACGAGUGGCGGACGGGUGAGUAAUGUCUGGGAAACUGCCUGAUGGAGGGGGAUAACUACUGGAAACGGUGGCUAAUACCGCAUAACGUCGCAAGACCAAAGAGGGGGACCUUCGGGCCUCUUGCCAUCAGAUGUGCCCAGAUGGGAUUAGCUUGUUGGUGAGGUAACGGCUCACCAAGGCGACGAUCCCUAGCUGGUCUGAGAGGAUGACCAGCCACACUGGAACUGAGACACGGUCCAGACUCCUACGGGAGGCAGCAGUGGGGAAUAUUGCACAAUGGGCGCAAGCCUGAUGCAGCCAUGCCGCGUGUAUGAAGAAGGCCUUCGGGUUGUAAAGUACUUUCAGCGGGGAGGAAGGUGUUGUGGUUAAUAACCACAGCAAUUGACGUUACCCGCAGAAGAAGCACCGGCUAACUCCGUGCCAGCAGCCGCGGUAAUACGGAGGGUGCAAGCGUUAAUCGGAAUUACUGGGCGUAAAGCGCACGCAGGCGGUCUGUCAAGUCGGAUGUGAAAUCCCCGGGCUCAACCUGGGAACUGCAUUCGAAACUGGCAGGCUUGAGUCUUGUAGAGGGGGGUAGAAUUCCAGGUGUAGCGGUGAAAUGCGUAGAGAUCUGGAGGAAUACCGGUGGCGAAGGCGGCCCCCUGGACAAAGACUGACGCUCAGGUGCGAAAGCGUGGGGAGCAAACAGGAUUAGAUACCCUGGUAGUCCACGCCGUAAACGAUGUCUACUUGGAGGUUGUGCCCUUGAGGCGUGGCUUCCGGAGCUAACGCGUUAAGUAGACCGCCUGGGGAGUACGGCCGCAAGGUUAAAACUCAAAUGAAUUGACGGGGGCCCGCACAAGCGGUGGAGCAUGUGGUUUAAUUCGAUGCAACGCGAAGAACCUUACCUGGUCUUGACAUCCACAGAACUUUCCAGAGAUGGAUUGGUGCCUUCGGGAACUGUGAGACAGGUGCUGCAUGGCUGUCGUCAGCUCGUGUUGUGAAAUGUUGGGUUAAGUCCCGCAACGAGCGCAAC
This 1112-nucleotide ribosomal RNA is filed under the name Salmonella enterica. Its description in RNAcentral is "bacterial SSU rRNA". It matches the Rfam family "Bacterial small subunit ribosomal RNA", at positions 1 to 1102 of the family's 1533-position model. The record is from RNAcentral. Lineage: Bacteria; Pseudomonadati; Pseudomonadota; Gammaproteobacteria; Enterobacterales; Enterobacteriaceae. RNAcentral also lists the same sequence under 4 other names.